RNAcentral lists this transfer RNA (106 nucleotides) under Annulohypoxylon stygium. RNAcentral describes it as "tRNA-Asn". It matches the Rfam family "tRNA". Rfam says of the family: Transfer RNA (tRNA) molecules are approximately 80 nucleotides in length. Their secondary structure includes four short double-helical elements and three loops (D, anti-codon, and T loops). Lineage: Eukaryota; Fungi; Ascomycota; Sordariomycetes; Xylariales; Hypoxylaceae. The record is from RNAcentral.
UGCCCAUUGGCCCAGUGGUUAAGGCGUCUGACUGUUAUUUCUUCCUUUACAAAUAAGUGGUAGCAGAAAAAUCAGAAGAUCCCUGGUUCGACCCCAGGAUGGGCAG